CCACAUGUGGCCCUGCAGCUGCUUCAGUGCUGUGGUCUUCCUGUCCAGAGACAUCUGCCAAUGCACGUUGUCUACGACCGCCUGGAUGACCCGCUCCAGCUCCUCUUCCCCACUUCCACUCUCCAAAGGGAUCGGCACGGCCCCGUCCAAGCUGGAGUCCUCCUGAGCCUGGAAAUCAUCCAUGAUAAAAAAGAGAAGUCCAACAUCCCGCUGGCACUCCUCUUCCUCCCAGUGAGCACGCAGAUACUCCUUUACGUUGUCUUUGAUGUAAGGGAACAAGGUCUCCUGGCAGCACACAAGAAAAACAGGCAGCUCCUUUAACAUGGCAGAGCAGGAGACCCGAGCCUGCCUGUGCACAGCUCCCAUCUCUCUGGGACCACACCGUCAGAUGGCCAGGCUCCUCGGAGACGUCCAGCCCCAGAUGUGGCUGCCCCAACACAGCUUGGCAGGAUGGAGAAACAGCCGUCAGCAAACACAGCUCGACAGCCCUCCUAAGCCUUUGCAACUGCUCACAGCAAUGUUAAACCCAGCAUAGAAAGGGUAGUAUUUUUACUGUCAGUAGACACCCACGUAGCACGCUUAGCACUUGUAGGGUCAAUUUUCCUCUCAAUGUCCAUGCAAACCGUCACAAAGUUCAGUGACAAUCUGCUCUUUUACAGGAGAUCUGGCAAAUCCCAGGGGAUGUAGUUUAUCAAAUUACAUCUUUCCUCUACCAUCUACUCUUCUCCGCCAGGGUGGACCCAGCAAAAGAGAAAACUUGGUGAUCUCUAACUACGGGCCACCAAAUAUUCUCUUUUCCGGUAUCUUUCCUUAAUCUACCCAUCAACUGGCUCAUUCUAUUUCCUUACUUUGCAUAUUCAAUAAUUCUAAUACUAAAGAAAGGAUUAAAUAAAAUCCUUUAAUUAAAGAAUAAAAUGCCUGCAGAACCAGCAGUUGACCUUUUAAAAGGAAGUAGAAAUUAUGGAGGUUAACUGAAAGUCCAAGUGAAAUAACUUGUUUCUAGCAUUUUCAGGACUUCCAGCAAACUGAGUUUUAUUGAGAACCAUAACUCAUUUGGCCUCCCUGCAACAGAAAGACUUUGGGUAGGAAACCAUCUCGGGCGUAUUGCAUGUUACUUGCACAACAGCAAAACGGAUUCAAGGUGGAUAUAACCAAAUUCAUUGCUCUGUUAGAUGUUUGGUAAGAAAUCUGAGCUGUUCAAACUGUUUAAAUUGAAAGAUAUCAAGGGGAUGGAGGCAGCUGUAAUGCCAUCUAGACCUGAAGUUUCUUCAAGAGCACUGGAAGAACAUGGACAGGAAAGAUGUAGGUCAUGCUGUUCAUCUGUUAAACUGUGUUAGCAGAAACACCUAGAAAGCCUGGCAAGAGACUUCACUCCUCCAUGCAUCAUGUGGGUCACAAAGCACCUUCGUAAACUACCAGCAAGAAAGAUCCACCACAAGCUAUAAUGUCACAUGGAGAAAUACAGGUUAAUGGCAGGAGCAGGGAUAAUUCCAUUCGGUGUCUUAAAUACAAGCAAAUUACCCCCUCCUGUGCAGCACACAAGCCUGGUUAGGGACCAAAACCUCUUGGAGAGGAGGGACCCACAGUGGCUGGAGAACUGCAAAUUUUAAUAGCAUAUUUACAGUGUUUGUCCUGAUGCCUCCUGCUGGCCUCGCAGACUUCCCAGUCCCCUGGCUUCUGCACCUAAACCAAAAUUUUCAAUAGUCUUAAGCCUUCUCCUAGGCAAGGGAAGCCACUCAAUACAUAUUUGCUGUUAGUACAGUCCUCGCGUACACUUGAUGCGCUGUGCUACCCUC
Harpia harpyja (harpy eagle) is the source of this 1796-nucleotide long non-coding RNA. RefSeq lists it as uncharacterized. The transcript has 3 exons. Lineage: Eukaryota; Metazoa; Chordata; Aves; Accipitriformes; Accipitridae. The record is from RefSeq and is a predicted model, not a curated record.